This 190-nucleotide ribosomal RNA is filed under the name uncultured marine bacterium. RNAcentral's name for it is "partial 16S ribosomal RNA". It matches the Rfam family "Bacterial small subunit ribosomal RNA", at positions 337 to 524 of the family's 1533-position model. The record is from RNAcentral.
UCCUACGGGAGGCAGCAGUGAGGAAUAUUAGACAAUGGGCGAAAGCCUGAUCUAGCCAUGCCGCGUGCAGGAUGACGGCCCUAUGGGUUGUAAACUGCUUUUAUACUGGAAGAAAAAACUCUACGUGUAGAGUCUUGACGGUACUGUAAGAAUAAGGAUCGGCUAACUCCGUGCCAGCAGCCGCGGUAAU